Molecule: unclassified non-coding RNA, 405 nt
Filed under: soil metagenome
Description: partial contains 5.8S ribosomal RNA, internal transcribed spacer 2, and large subunit ribosomal RNA
Rfam family: 5.8S ribosomal RNA (bases 1-121)
Source: RNAcentral
GAUGAAGAACGUAGCGAAAUGCGAUAAGUAAUGUGAAUUGCAGAAUUCAGUGAAUCAUCGAAUCUUUGAACGCACCUUGCGCCCUUUGGCUAUUCCGAAGGGCAUGCCUGUUUGAGUAUCAUGAACAUCUCAACUCCUCACGGUUCGCCCGUGACGAGCUUGGACUUUGGGGGUCUUGCCGGCCUGCGGGUCGGCUCCUCUCAAAUGAAUCAGCUUGCCGGUGUUUGGUGGCGUCACAGGUGUGAUAAAUAUCUACGCUUGUGGUUUUCCGCCAGGUAACCUCCAGUGAUGGGGGUUCACUGGAGCUCACGAAUGUCUCUCCUCGGUGAGGACAGCUCUUUGAACGUUUGAUCUCAAAUCAGGUAGGGCUACCCGCUGAACUUAAGCAUAUCAAUAAGCGGAGGA